CAACAAAAAAUCACUGGCCUUCUUCCACGCACCUCCUAAACAUUUCCCCACUUUCUCCAUCUUGCUCCCUUCCUUCCUUCUUCCACGCACCACUACUUCCACAACAGUUAAUUAAGGAUCGGUUUCCCUACAAUCCCGAUACGAUUUCAAGAGUUCAAUCCCAAUUCACUCAAACCGAAAUUUCCCAAAUCCAAAAUUAAAGAGUUCCCUUCAAUCCAUAUAGCAGAUUUUUUUCGUGUUUUAGCUCUUCCCGGCGAACUUUUCUCGGCGGCGACUUAUUAUCUGGCGAUAGUACUUCCCGGUAGCGUGUGGUUGAAUUAUCAAUUGGAGGAAAGGGUCGGGAAAGAUUGGAAAGGUAGAAUUGCUGGACUGGAACCCAUGAACUUCUUAACUGUUGCAACUCCACAUCUGGGUUCACAUAGGUCAUAGACAGGUGGGUACCUCAGCUAGACUCGAAUAAGUAUGUUUCCUAAACUCAAACUGUUAUUUUUGAUAUGAAUGUCUCUAUUUUAGAGCGACAUAGAUUGUAAAACUUUUGCGUGCUACUUGUUAGUUGUUACAGACAAGCUAGAUAUUUGUUCUGCCUCUAGAAAGUUUGAUUUUCAAUUUUUAGCUACAAGCACACUCAAAGAUCGCCAAACUUUAAUUCUAAUUAUCCCUCUCUGACCCUGAGUCUUUUAGUAAUCAUAUAAAAUGUCUAGAGAGUCAAUUUUACUAAAGAACGAUAUGAUGCAAAUGGUGGGAGGCUGCAGCAGGGCUAUAGAUGUCUGGUUUGCUGGUGGUUGUCCUUAUUUAAGAAUGUUUAAGAAAGAUAGCCAUAUAAAAAAGAGAUGGGAAAGUAUUGAUAUUUGACAAAAGAGCUGGGAAAGAUGUUAUGUCGUUACUGUAAGCUGCGUUGCGCAAGAUGUUAUGUUCCCAGCUUUAUGACAAGGACAUAUACAUUUCUUCAUAUUACUGGACUCGUUUUCAUUUCUGAGAGAUGAAAAGAAAGAGGCUAGCUUUUCGAGAAAUCUGCUUAUCAUUUAGCUACUGAUGGUCAAAUCCAAAAGUAUAAAACAGAUUGUGUGGUUUUGUGACUGAGUAAAGUCGAUUUCUAGAGGUAACAUAAGCACUAAGGCUAAAUAGGUUGCUGAUAGAUUUCGCGUUGAUGCUCUGCAGCUUGAAAGGAUCUUCCAGUACGUGUUCCUGCCACCUGAGAAUAAUACUAGCAGAAAGAAACAUGAGCUUGUUGCCUGAUUUCCCCUUCCUAUGGUAAUACUAAUUGAAUGAUUGAUUGCUUUUUGUGGUAAUUGUUAAAAAGUGUAUUUGCGAAACAUUUAGCUUCUGAUGAUGAUGAAAAGUUCUGCAUGGGAUUGUUAGCUUUUGCCAACAAUUGUAACACCUCGAUACUAUCUGGCGUUGUACAUGGAUAAUUGAUAUAUCAUGUAAAGAGUUACCAUUUUUCCUGUAAAAAUGAUUCAGAUAAGAACUUUAGUUUGCCAGUGGUUUUUAUUUUCUUCCACAUUUGUGUGAAAAGUUCUCCUGUCGUUCCGUGGCGCUUUAGCCAUUAGGUACUUGCAUAAAUGAGUAUAGAAAGUUGAUGUACUGUGUUCAGUUGAACUGCAUAAUGUGUAUCCUCUGCUUCGCAUGCACUUCCCAAACCCAAUAAAUGGAAUUCAGCUUUGUGCAAAAUGCAGUUAAGAUUCUCUUCAUUUUCGAUGGAAAUGUGUACUUAUCCAAAAAAUAUUUAUAGUACCAGAUUUUACUGCAGUUAUGGAUUGGAUCCUCUUGUCUGAAAUUAGGUUAAUUGCAACAGAUGUUUACUAUAGUGAUGAACUAGACCAAAUGAGCAAAUUUUAAUUAACUUUUCUGGGUUGCUUAUUGCUUUCCUUGCAAAUUGGAUUUUGGUAUUCAUUGUCCUUGGAUUAAUACCCUUAAUAGGCCUUAACGGAUACAUCCAAAUGAAAUUUAUCAAGGGAUUUAGUGCAGAUGCAAAGGUUCUAUCUAUCUCUCUCUCUCUCUCACUCUUCCUCAUUCCUCAACAAGAGGAACAUAUUGUAUAUAUCAAGCUUAACUAAUUGACAUAUGUCUUUGUGGCCGGUGUCUUGCAGAACAAGUAUGAAGAGGCAAGCCAAGUUGCUAAUGAUGCAGUUGAGAGUGUAAGAACAAUUGCUUCUUUUUGUGCCGAGGAGAAGGUAAUGCAGUUGUAUGAAAAGAAAUGUGAGGCUCCUGUAGAAGCUGGUAUAAAGCAAGAAAUAAUUAGUGGGGCAGGUUUCGGAGUGUCAUUUGCUUUGCUAUUUUUUGUCUAUGCCAUCAGUUUCUAUGCAGAAGCUCAACUCGCAGGGAAUGGAAAAACUACCUUUACCAAGGUCUUUCGCGUAAGUAUCUAUUUAUUUUUUAAAAUUCCAUAUAUAUGAAUAAAAUGUUAAAUGCAACUACGUACGUACUGCAUGUUUUCUUCGCUCUUACCAUGGCAGCGAUAGGAAUAUCACAAUCUAGCUCCUUUGCUCCUGAUAGUAGUAAAGCCAAGAGUGUUGCUGCCUCUGUAUUUUCAAUCCUUGAUCGUAAGUCUAAGAUAGACCCAAGUGAUGAAUCUGGGAUGAUCUUGGAUGAUGUAAAAGGUGAAAUUGAGCUUCGGCAUCUGAGGUUUUCAUAUCCAACUAGACCAGAUAUUCAGAUUUUUCGAGAUCUAAGAUUGAGCUUCGUCGAACAGCAGCUAGACGAAUCAACUCAACAAGCGCUUCAUCCAAAACCUCCAGUGCACCGGAACUGUGUAGAUUACGGUAAACAAGAGCAAUCCUGUUUUCUGCAACAUAAACCAAAUCCCAUUGAGAGAAUUUAGCAGCAAGUUGGAUUGCAUCAAUUGCCAAAACGGGUGAGUCCAAGGAAGACAGCAACAAGUUGGAUUACUUCAAUUGCCAAAACUGGUGAGUCCAAGGAAGACAAUGAUCACUCUUGAACGCACAUUCUGAACAUCAUUAAAAAACCAGUGUGUAGUGGCCAACAAAGCUCUAUGUAUAGGCGUAUGACAUCAUAUAAAUAUACAUUGUUGUAAUUUUAGUUUGUCGAUUUGAAAUAAUAUGGCACAUGUGGUUCUUUCUCUUUUGUUGUUAUUUUUUUUUCUACCGCGUCGACAACAUUGUAUAGGAUUUUAAGUUAAGAGAUAUC
This is a long non-coding RNA of Spinacia oleracea (spinach), 3147 nucleotides long. RefSeq lists it as uncharacterized. The transcript is spliced from 3 exons. The record is from RefSeq and is a predicted model, not a curated record. NCBI's taxonomy places the organism in Eukaryota, Viridiplantae, Streptophyta, Magnoliopsida, Caryophyllales, Amaranthaceae.